This 383-nucleotide unclassified non-coding RNA is filed under the name soil metagenome. RNAcentral describes it as "partial contains 5.8S ribosomal RNA, internal transcribed spacer 2, and large subunit ribosomal RNA". The stretch from base 1 to 120 matches the Rfam family "5.8S ribosomal RNA", at positions 35 to 154 of the family's 154-position model. The record is from RNAcentral.
GAUGAAGAACGCAGCGAAAUGCGAUAAGUAAUGUGAAUUGCAGAAUUCAGUGAAUCAUCGAAUCUUUGAACGCACCUUGCACCCUUUGGCAUUCCGAAGGGUAUGCUCGUUUGAGUGUCAUUGUACUCUCACUCUCCCGAUGCUUUUGGAUCGGGAGUGGUGGACUUGGGUGUUGCUGCUUUGCUGUGGCUCGCCUCAAAUGGAGUAGUGCAACUCUUGGUUGGACAUAGUACGGCGUGAUAAGUGUCUUCGCCGGCGCCUCAUUAUAGAGGGUGGCCGAUCGGGAGCUCUGUGCUUCAAACCGUCUUCGGACAACAUCUGACAACUUGACCUCAAAUCGAGUAGGACUACCCGCUGAACUUAAGCAUAUCAAUAACGGAGGA